Molecule: unclassified non-coding RNA, 885 nt
Filed under: Hevea brasiliensis (rubber tree)
Lineage: Eukaryota; Viridiplantae; Streptophyta; Magnoliopsida; Malpighiales; Euphorbiaceae
Source: RNAcentral
CCUUUUUGUGCGCUUCUAAAUUUAAUGCAUUAUAUGGUGAGGAACUGCUGGAUUCUGUUUUUAGUGUAUUUCUGGGCUGAAGAAUUUAACCAUUUAUCAUUUAUUAUUUAUUAAAUCACUUGGGCCAUUCAAAUUUUUGGUGAAGGGAAUGAGAAUUUGCAACUGUAUAGCGAUUGUUGCAAUUGCAAGGAUGUUAGUUGCCAACUGCACUUAUUUUUAUUGAAAGGAAAAGAGUUGCCAUUUUUUUUUCUAUGUUUAUUUAGUUAAUUGAACUGCUAAUUAGUUUAAGUGGCGAGAAAAAUGUUCUUACUUUGACUGAGAAUACGCGUAUCAUUUUAUGGUAAACUAGGGCUGAAGGCUAGUUCUCAAUGCCGUGCAUGCCAAAGAAUCUAUUUUUAAUUUUUUUUAAGUGAUGAAAAAAAUUGUAGAUUAGUGGAAGUAAAUCUAUUGAUUAAAUUGCAGCAUUUAGGCUUGGUUUGAUUACUGGAAUUGAGGGAUUGAGGAUGAAGUGAAAGCAUUGCCAUUUAUAAUUUCUAAAGCAUGGCUCCUGUGUAGUAAAGAAAAUCAGGGUAUGUAAUAAUUUUCAUUUGUGAUUCACCUUUCCCAUUUUGUUAGUUCGAGUUUACCAAACAGAAGGAGAAUUGAAUGCGUGAUUCUUUCCAGUUCCUUUUUUGUUCCUGAUAACCAAACAAGACCUGAGUGUUUGUCUCAUAUAACCUUAUGUAACCUUUCUCCUACUAGAUCUGAAGUGAAGAAGAGAGGAAAACAUAAAAUAACAAGUGAAUUGAAACAUAUAUUCUUAUUUGCUCUAGAGGAAUAGUUCUGAAAUGAAAAAGGUAUAAUGGAGGUAAACAUUUAGGUUUGAUUAAAGUAAGGAAUCUCUUC